GCGGGGGUAGCCGAGCCUGGCCAAAGGCGCGGGACUUAAGAUCCCGUCUCUCAGGAGUUCGUGGGUUCGAAUCCUCGACUUGUCUCUCAGAGACUUGGGCGAAUUUCCCACCCCCCGCACCA
RNAcentral lists this transfer RNA (122 nucleotides) under Nitrososphaerota archaeon. RNAcentral's name for it is "Thaumarchaeota archaeon tRNA-Leu". RNAcentral also lists the same sequence under 1 other name. The record is from RNAcentral. Lineage: Archaea; Thermoproteati; Nitrososphaerota.